RNAcentral lists this ribosomal RNA (459 nucleotides) under uncultured bacterium. RNAcentral describes it as "partial 16S ribosomal RNA". It matches the Rfam family "Bacterial small subunit ribosomal RNA", at positions 338 to 795 of the family's 1533-position model. The record is from RNAcentral.
CCUACGGGAGGCUGCAGUGAGGAAUAUUGGUCAAUGGGAGAGAUCCUGAACCAGCCAAGCCGCGUGAGGGAAGACGGCCCUAUGGGUUGUAAACCUCUUUUGUCGGAGAACAAAACCCGGGACGUGUCCCGGACUGCGUGUAUCCGAAGAAAAAGCAUCGGCUAACUCCGUGCCAGCAGCCGCGGUAAUACGGAGGAUGCGAGCGUUAUCCGGAUUUAUUGGGUUUAAAGGGUGCGUAGGCGGAUUUGUAAGUCAGCGGUAAAAAUGCGGUGCUCAACGCCGUAUCGCCGUUGAAACUGGAGGUCUUGAGUGAGCGAGAAGUAUGCGGAAUGCGUGGUGUAGCGGUGAAAUGCAUAGAGAUCACGCAGAACUCCGAUUGCGAAGGCAGCAUACCGGCGCUCAACUGACGCUGAGGCACGAAAGCGUGGGGAUCGAACAGGAUUAGAUACCCUGGUAGUC